This 253-nucleotide ribosomal RNA is filed under the name uncultured bacterium. RNAcentral describes it as "partial 16S ribosomal RNA". It matches the Rfam family "Bacterial small subunit ribosomal RNA", at positions 524 to 776 of the family's 1533-position model. The record is from RNAcentral.
GACAGAGGGUGCAAACGUUGUUCGGAAUUACUGGGCGUAAAGCGCGUGUAGGCGGCCCGGCAAGUCGGAGGUGAAAGCCCUGGGCUUAACCUAGGAAGUGCAUUCGAAACUGCUGGGCUUGAGUUCUGGAGAGGAAGGCGGAAUUCUCGGUGUAGAGGUGAAAUUCGUAGAUAUCGAGAGGAACACCGGUGGCGAAGGCGGCCUUCUGGACAGUGACUGACGCUGAGACGCGAAAGCGUGGGGAGCAAACAGG